This 253-nucleotide ribosomal RNA is filed under the name uncultured bacterium. RNAcentral describes it as "partial 16S ribosomal RNA". It matches the Rfam family "Bacterial small subunit ribosomal RNA", at positions 524 to 776 of the family's 1533-position model. The record is from RNAcentral.
UACGUAGGGUGCAAGCGUUGUCCGGAAUUAUUGGGCGUAAAGAGCUCGUAGGCGGUCUGUUGCGUCGGCUGUGAAAACCCGGGGCUCAACCCCGGGCCUGCAGCCGAUACGGGCAGACUAGAGUUCGGCAGGGGAGACUGGAAUUCCUGGUGUAGCGGUGAACUGCGCAGAUAUCAGGAGGAACACCGGUGGCGAAGGCGGGUCUCUGGGCAGUAACUGACGCUGAGGAGCGAAAGCGUGGGGAGCGAACAGG